ACCAAGGCCCAAAUGUGAAGAGGGAAACCUGAAUGAACUCCCUUUGCGAGUUCUUUUGUCCAGUGGAAAAAGCUCGGCGAAUAAGUGGUGGGUAAGACGGUUGCCAGCCGCCGCGGUAAUAACCGCGCCACAAGUGGUAGUCACGUUUAUUGGGCCUAAAGCGUCCGUAGCCGGUUUGAUGUGUCUUUGGUGAAAUCCUACAGUAAACUGUAGGGCUUGCUGGGGAUACUAUCAGGCUUGGAGCCGGGAGAGGUUGAGGGUACUUCAUGGGUAGGAGUAAAAUCCUUUAAUCCAUGAAAGACCACCUGUGGCGAAGGCGCUCAACUGGAACGGGCUCGACGGUGAGGGACGAAAGCUAGGGGAGCAACCGGGAUUAGAUACCCCGUUAGUCCUAGCUGUAAACUUUGCCCGCCUGGUGUUGCGGUUUCUUUGGGAAACUGUAGUGCUGUAGCGAAGGUGUUAAGCGGGCCGCCUGGGGAGUACGGUCGCAAGGCUGAAACUUAAGGGAAUUGGCGGGGGA
Molecule: ribosomal RNA, 520 nt
Filed under: uncultured archaeon
Lineage: Archaea
Description: bacterial SSU rRNA
Rfam family: Archaeal small subunit ribosomal RNA
Source: RNAcentral